UCGAGCGGCCGCUUCGCAACGCGACGCUCCUUCGCGCCAAUUUCGGCCCGCCAUCUUUGAAUCUCGAAUAUAGAACUCGGUUGUGUUGGAAAUCAAAUUAGAACAAUUAAAUUAAAAAGAAAUGUUUCUGACAGUGUCCUAAAAAGUAUUUAAUAUUUCAACAGUAAAUUAUAGUUUGUUAGUUUGCAAAGUUUAUGUAGCGUUGAUGUUCUAGAGUUUUAAAAGUGUAAAGUUUGUGAAAGUGUGUUUGAUGUUUUUAAUUUAUUUAUUGUAGUUGACUGUGUAAGGACACCAGUAUUUAAGAUUUCGUGCGGCACUGGUUAAAUACAACAAACAAGCAAGAUGUACGGGCUACUGCUGGAGAAUAUGGCGGAGUACAUUCGACAGACGUACGGAGAGGAGCGGUGGGAGGACAUCAGACGGCAGGCGGGGGUGGAGCAGCCCUCCUUCUCAGUGCACCAGGUGUACCCGGAGAAUAUGAUCGCACGACUCGCGAAGAAGGCGCAGGAGGUACUAGGCAUAUCAGAACGGGAGUUUAUGGACCAAAUGGGUGUAUAUUUCGUCGGUUUCGUCUCACAGUAUGGCUACGACAGAGUUUUAUCAGUGCUAGGAAGACACAUGAGAGAUUUCUUAAAUGGAUUGGAUAAUUUACAUGAGUAUUUAAAGUUUAGCUACCCAAGAAUGAGAGCACCCAGUUUUAUAUGCGAGAAUGAGACUAGGCAAGGUUUGACAUUACAUUAUAGGACAAAAAGAAGAGGAUUUGUAUACUAUGCCAUGGGACAAAUACGAGAGGUAGCUCGCCACUUUUAUCACAAAGAGAUGAGGAUUGAAUUACUAAGAGAGGAGUUACUAUUCGACACGGUCCAUGUGACGUUUCAACUGACGUUCGACAACAGAGCAUUUACCCUGGCGUCUUUGGCGAUGACCAGAGAAGAGAAGCAUCUUCCAAUAAGUGCGUCCGUGUUAUUCGAGAUAUUCCCCUUCUGUAUCGUUUUUGGGUCAGACAUGGUGGUGCGCAGUAUCGGCAACUCGCUGAUGGUGAUCCUGCCAGACCUCGUCGGUAAGAAGAUCACGAACUGGUUCGACCUCGUGCGCCCGCUCAUCGCAUUCAAAUUCCAAACUAUCCUGAACCGCACCAACAACAUCUUCGAGCUGGUGACUGUAGAAGCCGUGAUGCAUGAGAAAGCUCCAGACAAACGGAACGAACUGCUUCGACUGUCUGACGAGUCCGAUGGACCUACCGAGAAGAACUUGCGGCUUAAAGGUCAGAUGAUCUACAUGGACAACUGGCGGAUGAUGAUGUACUUGGGGACUCCAGUGAUGCCGGAUCUGUCAGCACUCGUGUCCACGGGGCUCUACAUCAACGACUUGUCCAUGCAUGACUUUAGCAGAGAUCUAAUGCUGGCCGGCACACAGCAAUCCGUAGAAUUAAAAUUAGCCCUAGACCAAGAGCAGCAGAAGAGUAAGAAGUUGGAGGAAUCCAUGAGGAAACUGGAUGAGGAGAUGAAGAGGACAGACGAGCUGCUGUACCAGAUGAUACCGAAGCAGGUGGCCGACCGGCUGCGGAACGGAGAGAACCCGAUCGACACUUGUGAGAUGUUCGACAGCGUGUCGAUCCUGUUCUCCGACGUGGUGACCUUCACGGAGAUAUGUUCCCGCAUCACGCCGAUGGAGGUGGUCUCCAUGUUGAAUGCCAUGUACUCCAUAUUCGAUACCCUCACCGAGAGGAACCGGGUCUAUAAGGUAGAGACAAUAGGGGACGCGUACAUGGUGGUAUCUGGUGCUCCGGAGAAGGAAGACAACCACGCAGAGAAGGUGUGCGACAUGGCGCUGGAUAUGGUCGACGCGAUCACUGACCUUAAGGACCCUAGCACAGGAUCUCACCUGUCCAUCCGAGUGGGCGUACACUCAGGCGCAGUGGUGGCGGGUAUCGUCGGCCUCAAGAUGCCCCGGUACUGCCUCUUCGGGGACUCGGUGAACACGGCCUCCCGCAUGGAGUCCACCUCAGAGGCCAUGCGGAUCCACAUCUCGCAGACCACUAGGGAGCUGCUGUCGCCUUCUUACAUGGUUGAGGAACGGGGGGAGAUACAGGUGAAGGGGAAAGGAGCAAUGAAGACCUACUGGCUAGAAGGCCGCGAGUCCCGACCUUCUCUCACUAAAGUAAUCUCCCCACAACUACAACCUGGCGCCGAGCUGGAGUGGGAGCGAGCUGCUGACGUGAGGGACAGCAUCGCAGAGCAUUCAGCUCAGAACAACAAGGAGCUGGCUGAGCGUAACCUGGCCAACUCUGCUCCUAACUCUCUGGCUCAUUAUAAUAGCAACACCAACAUGGCGCCAUCGCCAACAAUCCGCAGCUCGCAGAUCUCGACUCCCGCGCCGACUGUGACGUCACCGGCGGAAGAGAGACGCAUGUACUCUCCCGUCACCUUUCAGGAUGUCGCACGACGGAGUAUAGCCAACUCACCGAAUAGACAUGAAACUGUUAGAGAAUCGCGAUCGAACUCGGCGAGCGUGGGAGGUUGGACUGACGCUGAGUCCCUAGACCCAACUAAGGCCAUGGAUAGUCUCAAUUCUUCCUUCUGAGUAGUGACGGCGCCUGCGCCGAAUGAGCGUGAGUUGGAGCCCUUUCAUCUGCCCGGGUUCCUCCCGCGGAUGUCGCCAACGCACUCGGCGCCGGCCGCCGUCGACUCCUGCGCCACUCUCCGGCCAGACACC
Molecule: unclassified non-coding RNA, 2715 nt
Filed under: Pectinophora gossypiella (pink bollworm)
Lineage: Eukaryota; Metazoa; Arthropoda; Insecta; Lepidoptera; Gelechiidae
Description: soluble guanylate cyclase 88E
Source: RNAcentral